This 556-nucleotide ribosomal RNA is filed under the name uncultured bacterium. Its description in RNAcentral is "bacterial SSU rRNA". It matches the Rfam family "Bacterial small subunit ribosomal RNA", at positions 335 to 910 of the family's 1533-position model. The record is from RNAcentral.
AUUCCUACGGGAGGCAGCAGUGGGGAAUCUUGGACAAUGGGCGCAAGCCUGAUCCAGCCAUGCCGCGUGAGUGAUGAAGGCCUUAGGGUCGUAAAGCUCUUUCGCCAGGGAUGAUAAUGACAGUACCUGGUAAAGAAACUCCGGCUAACUCCGUGCCAGCAGCCGCGGUAAUACGGAGGGGGUUAGCGUUGUUCGGAAUUACUGGGCGUAAAGCGCGCGUAGGCGGACCAGAAAGUUGGGGGUGAAAUCCCGGGGCUCAACCCCGGAACUGCCUCCAAAACUCCUGGUCUAGAGUUCGAGAGAGGUGAGUGGAAUUCCGAGUGUAGAGGUGAAAUUCGUAGAUAUUCGGAGGAACACCAGUGGCGAAGGCGGCUCACUGGCUCGACACUGACGCUGAGGUGCGAAAGUGUGGGGAGCAAACAGGAUUAGAUACCCUGGUAGUCCACACCGUAACGAUGAAUGCCAGUCGUCGGGUAGCAUGCUAUUCGGUGACACACCUAACGGAUUAAGCAUUCCGCCUGGGGAGUACGGUCGCAAGAUUAAAACUCAAAGGAAU